Molecule: ribosomal RNA, 2884 nt
Filed under: Pseudomonas aeruginosa PA14
Lineage: Bacteria; Pseudomonadati; Pseudomonadota; Gammaproteobacteria; Pseudomonadales; Pseudomonadaceae
Description: 23S ribosomal RNA
Rfam family: Bacterial large subunit ribosomal RNA
Source: RNAcentral
GGUCAAGUGAAGAAGCGCAUACGGUGGAUGCCUUGGCAGUCAGAGGCGAUGAAAGACGUGGUAGCCUGCGAAAAGCUUCGGGGAGUCGGCAAACAGACUUUGAUCCGGAGAUCUCUGAAUGGGGGAACCCACCUAGGAUAACCUAGGUAUCUUGUACUGAAUCCAUAGGUGCAAGAGGCGAACCAGGGGAACUGAAACAUCUAAGUACCCUGAGGAAAAGAAAUCAACCGAGAUUCCCUUAGUAGUGGCGAGCGAACGGGGAUUAGCCCUUAAGCUUCAUUGAUUUUAGCGGAACGCUCUGGAAAGUGCGGCCAUAGUGGGUGAUAGCCCCGUACGCGAAAGGAUCUUUGAAGUGAAAUCGAGUAGGACGGAGCACGAGAAACUUUGUCUGAACAUGGGGGGACCAUCCUCCAAGGCUAAAUACUACUGACUGACCGAUAGUGAACCAGUACCGUGAGGGAAAGGCGAAAAGAACCCCGGAGAGGGGAGUGAAAUAGAACCUGAAACCGUAUGCGUACAAGCAGUGGGAGCCUACUUGUUAGGUGACUGCGUACCUUUUGUAUAAUGGGUCAGCGACUUAUAUUCAGUGGCAAGCUUAACCGUAUAGGGUAGGCGUAGCGAAAGCGAGUCUUAAUAGGGCGUUUAGUCGCUGGGUAUAGACCCGAAACCGGGCGAUCUAUCCAUGAGCAGGUUGAAGGUUAGGUAACACUGACUGGAGGACCGAACCCACUCCCGUUGAAAAGGUAGGGGAUGACUUGUGGAUCGGAGUGAAAGGCUAAUCAAGCUCGGAGAUAGCUGGUUCUCCUCGAAAGCUAUUUAGGUAGCGCCUCAUGUAUCACUCUGGGGGGUAGAGCACUGUUUCGGCUAGGGGGUCAUCCCGACUUACCAAACCGAUGCAAACUCCGAAUACCCAGAAGUGCCGAGCAUGGGAGACACACGGCGGGUGCUAACGUCCGUCGUGAAAAGGGAAACAACCCAGACCGCCAGCUAAGGUCCCAAAGUUGUGGUUAAGUGGUAAACGAUGUGGGAAGGCUUAGACAGCUAGGAGGUUGGCUUAGAAGCAGCCACCCUUUAAAGAAAGCGUAAUAGCUCACUAGUCGAGUCGGCCUGCGCGGAAGAUGUAACGGGGCUCAAACCACACACCGAAGCUGCGGGUGUCACGUAAGUGACGCGGUAGAGGAGCGUUCUGUAAGCCUGUGAAGGUGAGUUGAGAAGCUUGCUGGAGGUAUCAGAAGUGCGAAUGCUGACAUGAGUAACGACAAUGGGUGUGAAAAACACCCACGCCGAAAGACCAAGGGUUCCUGCGCAACGUUAAUCGACGCAGGGUUAGUCGGUUCCUAAGGCGAGGCUGAAAAGCGUAGUCGAUGGGAAACAGGUUAAUAUUCCUGUACUUCUGGUUACUGCGAUGGAGGGACGGAGAAGGCUAGGCCAGCUUGGCGUUGGUUGUCCAAGUUUAAGGUGGUAGGCUGAAAUCUUAGGUAAAUCCGGGGUUUCAAGGCCGAGAGCUGAUGACGAGUCGUCUUUUAGAUGACGAAGUGGUUGAUGCCAUGCUUCCAAGAAAAGCUUCUAAGCUUCAGGUAACCAGGAACCGUACCCCAAACCGACACAGGUGGUCGGGUAGAGAAUACCAAGGCGCUUGAGAGAACUCGGGUGAAGGAACUAGGCAAAAUGGCACCGUAACUUCGGGAGAAGGUGCGCCGGCUAGGGUGAAGGAUUUACUCCGUAAGCUCUGGCUGGUCGAAGAUACCAGGCCGCUGCGACUGUUUAUUAAAAACACAGCACUCUGCAAACACGAAAGUGGACGUAUAGGGUGUGACGCCUGCCCGGUGCCGGAAGGUUAAUUGAUGGGGUUAGCGCAAGCGAAGCUCUUGAUCGAAGCCCCGGUAAACGGCGGCCGUAACUAUAACGGUCCUAAGGUAGCGAAAUUCCUUGUCGGGUAAGUUCCGACCUGCACGAAUGGCGUAACGAUGGCGGCGCUGUCUCCACCCGAGACUCAGUGAAAUUGAAAUCGCUGUGAAGAUGCAGUGUAUCCGCGGCUAGACGGAAAGACCCCGUGAACCUUUACUGUAGCUUUGCACUGGACUUUGAGCCUGCUUGUGUAGGAUAGGUGGGAGGCUUUGAAGCGUGGACGCCAGUUCGCGUGGAGCCAUCCUUGAAAUACCACCCUGGCAUGCUUGAGGUUCUAACUCUGGUCCGUGAUCCGGAUCGAGGACAGUGUAUGNNNNNNNNNNNNNNNNNNNNNNNNNNNNNNNAACGGAGGAGUACGAAGGUGCGCUCAGACCGGUCGGAAAUCGGUCGCAGAGUAUAAAGGCAAAAGCGCGCUUGACUGCGAGACAGACACGUCGAGCAGGUACGAAAGUAGGUCUUAGUGAUCCGGUGGUUCUGUAUGGAAGGGCCAUCGCUCAACGGAUAAAAGGUACUCCGGGGAUAACAGGCUGAUACCGCCCAAGAGUUCAUAUCGACGGCGGUGUUUGGCACCUCGAUGUCGGCUCAUCACAUCCUGGGGCUGAAGCCGGUCCCAAGGGUAUGGCUGUUCGCCAUUUAAAGUGGUACGCGAGCUGGGUUUAGAACGUCGUGAGACAGUUCGGUCCCUAUCUGCCGUGGACGUUUGAGAUUUGAGAGGGGCUGCUCCUAGUACGAGAGGACCGGAGUGGACGAACCUCUGGUGUUCCGGUUGUCACGCCAGUGGCAUUGCCGGGUAGCUAUGUUCGGAAAAGAUAACCGCUGAAAGCAUCUAAGCGGGAAACUUGCCUCAAGAUGAGAUCUCACUGGGAACUUGAUUCCCCUGAAGGGCCGUCGAAGACUACGACGUUGAUAGGCUGGGUGUGUAAGCGUUGUGAGGCGUUGAGCUAACCAGUACUAAUUGCCCGUGAGGCUUGACCAU